UAGGGAAUAUUGGUCAAUGGGCGAAAGCCUGAACCAGCAACGCCGCGUGUGCGAUGAAGGCCUUCGGGUCGUAAAGCACUUUUCUGGGAGAUGAGAAAGGACAGUAUCCCAGGAAUAAGUCUCGGCUAACUACGUGCCAGCAGCCGCGGUAAAACGUAGGAGGCGAGCGUUAUCCGGAUUCACUGGGCGUAAAGCGCGUGCAGGUGGCUUGGUAAGUUAGGCGUGAAAUCUCCCGGCUCAACUGGGAGAGGUCGUCUAAUACUACCGGGCUUGAGAGCAGAAGAGGAAGAUGGAAUUCCCGGUGUAGUGGUGAAAUGCGUAGAUAUCGGGAGGAACACCAGUGGCGAAGGCGACCUUCUGGUCUGUUUCUGACACUCAGACGCGACAGCUAGGGUAGUAAACGGGAUUAGAGACCCCGGUAAUCCUAGCCGUAAACGAUGUAAACUUGGCGUUGGUGGGUUAAACUCCAUCAGUGCCGCAGCAAACGCGAUAAGUUUACCGCCUGGGGACUACGGCCGCAAGGUUAA
Molecule: ribosomal RNA, 527 nt
Filed under: uncultured Anaerolineaceae bacterium
Lineage: Bacteria; Bacillati; Chloroflexota; Anaerolineae; Anaerolineales; Anaerolineaceae
Description: bacterial SSU rRNA
Rfam family: Bacterial small subunit ribosomal RNA
Source: RNAcentral